GUGAAUCAUCGAAUUUUUGAACGCAAAUUGCACUCUCUUCGGAGAGGAUGCCUGUUUGAGGGUCAGUAUUAAUAAAAAUCGGUGUGUUGCUUCUUUGGGAGGCGCCGGAGAGUGGGUCAUCUUAAUAUCCUUUAGGUUUUAAGAGGCUUAAAAUGGACUUGUUGUGCGCGGUUUAGAUGUACGGAAAUUCAUGUUUUUAUUCGUCUGUCUUAAUGCUCAAGAUCAUAGUAGAGGAGACCAUAUCGUGUGGUUUCGUGUCUAUAAAUUUUUCAUGAUUUGACCUCAAAUCAGGUAGGAGUAA
RNAcentral lists this unclassified non-coding RNA (301 nucleotides) under Rhizophagus sp. (in: glomeromycetes). RNAcentral describes it as "partial contains 5.8S ribosomal RNA, internal transcribed spacer 2, and large subunit ribosomal RNA". The stretch from base 1 to 65 matches the Rfam family "5.8S ribosomal RNA", at positions 84 to 154 of the family's 154-position model. The record is from RNAcentral. Lineage: Eukaryota; Fungi; Glomeromycota; Glomeromycetes; Glomerales; Glomeraceae.